UACAGGGGGUGCAAACGUUGCUCGGAAUUAUUGGGCGUAAAGCGCGCGUAGGCGGUUGCUUAAGUCGGAUGUGAAAGCCCUUGGCUUAACCGAGGAAGUGCACCCGAAACUGAGCAGCUUGAGUAUGACAGAGGGUCGCGGAAUUCCCGGUGUAGAGGUGAAAUUCGUAGAUAUCGGGAGGAACACCGGUGGCGAAGGCGGCGGCCUGGGUCAAAACUGACGCUGAGGCGCGAAAGCGUGGGGAGCAAACAGG
Molecule: ribosomal RNA, 253 nt
Filed under: uncultured bacterium
Lineage: Bacteria
Description: partial 16S ribosomal RNA
Rfam family: Bacterial small subunit ribosomal RNA
Source: RNAcentral